UUAAAUGAUAGCCAGUUUCUCCCUACCUCGGUAGGGAUUGAGCAGGCAUUAACCCUUUGUGAACUGUCAUCUUAUAUUGGUGCUGUCCCUUAGGGAGACGGCGCUCAUUAUAAACCCCUAUAUGUUUAACUGAUAAAGAGUAAGAGAAA
RNAcentral lists this unclassified non-coding RNA (149 nucleotides) under soil metagenome. RNAcentral describes it as "partial internal transcribed spacer 1". The record is from RNAcentral.